UACGAAGGGAGCUAGCGUUGUUCGGAAUUACUGGGCGUAAAGGGCGCGUAGGCGGCACGGCAAGUCAGGAGUGAAAGCCCUGGGCUCAACCCGGGAACUGCUUUUGAAACUGCCGAGCUAGAGUGCGGAAGGGGCAACUGGAAUUCCCAGUGUAGCGGUGAAAUGCGUAGAUAUUGGGAAGAACACCUGAGGCGAAGGCGGGUUGCUGGGCCGACACUGACGCUGAGGCGCGAAAGCCAGGGGAGCGAACAGG
RNAcentral lists this ribosomal RNA (253 nucleotides) under uncultured bacterium. Its description in RNAcentral is "partial 16S ribosomal RNA". It matches the Rfam family "Bacterial small subunit ribosomal RNA", at positions 524 to 776 of the family's 1533-position model. The record is from RNAcentral.